This is a ribosomal RNA of 395 nucleotides. It matches the Rfam family "Eukaryotic small subunit ribosomal RNA", at positions 582 to 975 of the family's 1831-position model.
AUUCCAGCUCCAAUAGCGUAUAUUAAAGUUGUUGCAGUUAAAAAGCUCGUAGUUGGAUUUCUGGUGGGGCUGUCGGCCUGGCUCCGAAAGGGGUCGUGGUUAGUACACGCCUGGCCAUCCUCGGGGGAAGCUUUGCUGGCAUUAAGUUGUCGGCGGAGUGACGCUCGUCGUUUACUGUGAACAAAUUAGAGUGUUCAAAGCAGGCUUAGGCCGUUGAAUACAUUAGCAUGGAAUAAUGAGAUAGGACUUUGGUGGUCUAUUUUGUUGGUUUGCACGCCGAAGUAAUGAUUAAUAGGGGCGGUUGGGGGUAUUCGUAUUCAAUUGUCAGAGGUGAAAUUCUUGGAUUUAUGAAAGACGAACUACUGCGAAAGCAUUUGCCAAGGAUGUUUUCAUCA